GACGAACCGUGCGAACGUUGUUCGGAAUCACUGGGCUUAAAGGGCGCGUAGGCGGGCGGUCAAGUCAGGGGUGAAAUCCCACGGCUCAACCGUGGAAGUGCCUUUGAUACUGGCCGUCUCGAGGGAGGUAGGGGCGUGCGGAACUUCCGGUGGAGCGGUGAAAUGCGUAGAUAUCGGAAGGAACACCGGUGGCGAAAGCGGCGCGCUGGACCUUUACUGACGCUGAGGCGCGAAAGCCAGGGGAGCAAACGGG
This 253-nucleotide ribosomal RNA is filed under the name uncultured bacterium. RNAcentral describes it as "partial 16S ribosomal RNA". It matches the Rfam family "Bacterial small subunit ribosomal RNA", at positions 524 to 776 of the family's 1533-position model. The record is from RNAcentral.